GCAGUCGGACGGUCUGUCGCUGGCAGCAUCUCUAAGGUGCUGAAAGAGGAAAGUCCGGGCAGCACAGGGCAUCCCACUUCCUAAUAUAGAAGCAGUCCGCGAGGGCUGAGUAAUGCAGAAGAAAAUAACAACAGACGCGGCUUUAGCGCCCAAUCCUUUGGAAUGAGCGAUGCUGCCACGGCUGAAAUGGUGAGAAGGUGAGGUAAGGGCUCACCAGCGGCAUGGCGACAUGUCGGCUGUGCAUCUUGGGAGCUGCAAGUUCAUGUAAACCACCGCCACGAGGGUUGCCCGCCCGAUUGUUCGGUGGAGGGUAGAACGCUUGAGCCAUGGGGUGACUCAUGGAGUAGAUAAAUGACAGGCACGCACUGCGAAAUGGGGAACACAUCCCUUUCGUUGGAUGGUGCGCACAAAACCCGGCUUAUAGUCCGACUGCUUUU
Molecule: RNase P RNA, 437 nt
Filed under: Bacteroidaceae bacterium
Lineage: Bacteria; Pseudomonadati; Bacteroidota; Bacteroidia; Bacteroidales; Bacteroidaceae
Description: RNase P RNA component class A
Rfam family: Bacterial RNase P class A
About the family: Ribonuclease P (RNase P) is a ubiquitous endoribonuclease, found in archaea, bacteria and eukarya as well as chloroplasts and mitochondria. Its best characterised activity is the generation of mature 5'-ends of tRNAs by cleaving the 5'-leader elements of precursor-tRNAs.
Source: RNAcentral